UCCCUCUGGCAAUGGGCAGAGACACCUUGUUGGUGAUAUUGUUCUUAUAUCAGUCAGGGGAAGACCAUUCAUUUAUUCAUCUUAGCUUGAUGCCUGUUUUGGUAGCCAAAACCCAAAAUUGUUUUAUGCCUAGGACUCAUAA
This is a small nucleolar RNA of Mastomys coucha (southern multimammate mouse), 142 nucleotides long. RefSeq annotates it as small nucleolar RNA SNORA48. The transcript has a single exon. The record is from RefSeq and is a predicted model, not a curated record. Lineage: Eukaryota; Metazoa; Chordata; Mammalia; Rodentia; Muridae.